Molecule: ribosomal RNA, 468 nt
Filed under: uncultured bacterium
Lineage: Bacteria
Description: partial 16S ribosomal RNA
Rfam family: Bacterial small subunit ribosomal RNA
Source: RNAcentral
GACGAACGCUGGCGGCGUGCUUAACACAUGCAAGUCGAACGGAAAGGCCCUGCUUUUGUGGGGUGCUCGAGUGGCGAACGGGUGAGUAACACGUGAGUAACCUGCCCUUGACUUUGGGAUAACUUCAGGAAACUGGGGCUAAUACCGGAUAGGAGCUCCUGCUGCAUGGUGGGGGUUGGAAAGUUUCGGCGGUUGGGGAUGGACUCGCGGCUUAUCAGCUUGUUGGUGGGGUAGUGGCUUACCAAGGCUUUGACGGGUAGCCGGCCUGAGAGGGUGACCGGCCACAUUAGGACUGAGAUAAGGCCCAGACUCCUACGGGAGGCAGCAGUGGGGAAUAGUGCACAAUGGGCGGAAGCCUGAUGCAGCACCGCCGCGUGCGGGAUGACGGCCUUCGGGUUGUAAACCGCUUUCGCCUGUGACGAAGCGUGAGUGACGGUAAUGGGUAAAGAAGCACCGGCUAACUACGUG